UCUAUUAUGGCAGAUUAAUGUAAUGAAUUUAAGUUUCAUAAAUAAAAUUUUUUUAAAUUUUUAAUAGAA
Molecule: transfer RNA, 69 nt
Filed under: Mirax sp. QL-2014
Lineage: Eukaryota; Metazoa; Arthropoda; Insecta; Hymenoptera; Braconidae
Description: tRNA-Leu
Source: RNAcentral